UUAAAACAUUUCAGAAUUUUUAAGAUAUUAACAAUUAAAUAAGUAUGUGAUUACAUCAUGACAUCAUGAAGGAGGCUACUGAUUCUGGCCCUGUGACACUUGGUGGUGACGUGUGAGCUGAUUCACCUGGACACUCAGCAAAAUAUGGACUCUACACCAUGAGGCAGGCACACGUUAAUACUCUAUAAGAGCACAUAAGCCUGGCUGAUCACCUGAUAACUCCUGUCAUCUGGUUGUGACAGCAUGAGGAUGUCCUCACACACCUGUAACCUAUCAGCUCAUCUGGCAGAAUAGAGAGAGAAGAGACAACACCACAUCUCCUGUUCCUGGAAAGCCUUCAGCCAUACUUCGAUGACUGAGAACCUCCAUCAGCUCUGUCUCCUGUCUGCCUACAAUUAUUAUAAUAAAUAUUGUGUUUGACAAGUUUUUUGUGCUGCCAAAUAUCUCAUUUUU
Molecule: non-coding RNA, 453 nt
Organism: Nothobranchius furzeri (turquoise killifish)
Lineage: Eukaryota; Metazoa; Chordata; Actinopteri; Cyprinodontiformes; Nothobranchiidae
Source: RefSeq, a predicted model, not a curated record